Molecule: transfer RNA, 93 nt
Filed under: Candidatus Omnitrophota bacterium
Lineage: Bacteria; Pseudomonadati; Candidatus Omnitrophota
Description: tRNA-Ser
Rfam family: tRNA
About the family: Transfer RNA (tRNA) molecules are approximately 80 nucleotides in length. Their secondary structure includes four short double-helical elements and three loops (D, anti-codon, and T loops).
Source: RNAcentral
GGAGAGGUGCGUGAGUGGCUGAAACGAGCGGCUUGCUAAGCCGCCGAGGUGGUUUUGCUGCCUCCGAGGGUUCAAAUCCCUCCCUCUCCGCCA